Molecule: long non-coding RNA, 40945 nt
Filed under: Ananas comosus (pineapple)
Lineage: Eukaryota; Viridiplantae; Streptophyta; Magnoliopsida; Poales; Bromeliaceae
Description: long non-coding RNA (ACOM_LNC028716)
Source: RNAcentral
UUUGUUUUCAGUAAUAAAAAUUUCUAUAAAAUAAUUUUAAAAAUUUGAAAAAAAAGAAAAGAUUUUUCGUUACGAGAAAAGUAAAAUUGGUUCAUUUGAGACUUAGUUUGGUAUUGAGAUUUAUCUAUCGCUAUUAGAUAGAAUGAAGUUGAGGAAAAGUAUAUAGAGAUAUACUUCUGCGUUCUCACCAUAGAAAAUAUAUCGUAACCGAUUAAUCGUAAUAUGUGCAAUGCAAUACUACGUACGGAAUCAAACAGGAUAUCUUUUCAUCAUCGUUUUUCACCACGUAAUGCAAUCUCCCCGCAAUUCCAAAUGAAACUAAGUGGCUCUGAUUCUACUUCAAAGAGAGGCUGUUGAAAAUAUAUGACGCGUGCUCCUGAUUCUGCUUCAAGCAGAAGUUAUUGAAGGUAUGUAGCAUAGUUCUUCUCCUUGUUAAUAUAGAUGGGCUCUACAACUCUAUCUGGGAUUGUGUGAACGAAGCAUUACGAGAGAGUGCAAUGAAAAAUAUGGCUAAGAGCAAUUUUUAAAUUGACUAUAUUUUAUUGUCAAAAUUAUUGAAUUUUAUAAACUGAGUCAAUUAUAGUAAUAUUAUAAAUAUUACAAUUCAACAUUACAUUACUAUAUUAAAUUAAAUGUGCUAAUGCAGCAUUAAUAGUAAUCUCAUUUAUAAAUCUAAAAUAUCUGGAUACAUCAAAAUAUUCUAUAAUAUUACAUAACUUGAACGAAAUGAAUCUUAAGUUCAAUAAAACAAAUUGAUUUGGUUGUUAGGGUCUGCAAUGUUGGAUUUGGGUGGAAUCCUCUUGCUAGUCUGGUUCAUUGCCCAUUAUAUUUCUGUUCUUUUAAAUUAAUAAAUAAUAAAUGAUUUUUAGUUCUUUAUGGAUGAUUAUUUUGCUAACUCCUACUAUAUAAAAAAAUUGUGAAAAUAUUUAUCUUACAUUAAUGAAAACCUUUGAUAGAUUUUUCACCACUUUCAUGUAAAAAAAAAAAAUGCAAAAUGAAUUAUUGUACUCUUUCACUUUAUUGAUGUGUUUUCAGGUGUUAGCUCAAAAUAUUGUAACGAACUAAAAUAGUAAGAUAUCUAUAACCUAUAAUAUGUAUCACUAUAAACUAUAUAUUAAUCCUCGAUUCCUUAUACACAUGGCAUAUCUAUAACUAUAGCUAUAUUUAUGUCUAUUUUGCUCGUUCAAGAGUAAGGGUAGUAAUUAAUCCAUUUGUGUUCGGUUCGAAAUAAGCUUGAGAUCGAAUCAUUUUUUUAAUAAACGAACUGAAUACAAGUUGAAUUUUUUAGCUCAUUUAAUAAACGAGUGAAACACGAGUUGAAUUUUUUGGCUCAAUGCUUUAAUGAGCCAGCUCGUGUGGAGCACAAACCAGCCUCAGCUCGCUCAUGUUCGACCCGAUGACAACCUUAUUCAAGAGAGCUCCCGGAAAGGGUUUAAAAUAAGCUAUGUUUGUAGCUCUUUCGAUCUAAAACACUAGUGUGAAAGUGUUCUAUGAACAUAGCAUGCUCUUAAUUUAUUCUAACAUCAUUCGGUCAACACAAGAAGGAACUUUGCAAUCUUAAAACUGUUAUAGUUAUCUUCUUCUGGAUCAAAAAAGGCCUACUUAUUUGACCAAAUGUGUUUGGUUCCUAACAUGCCAAGUGGGCUAUUAUGAAUCUAUGAUUGUAAAUUAUAAUCUAAUCGUAUUACUAAUAUUGUUUGAUAAUAAUGUCCAAUCAUGAUCAUUAUCAAUUAUUUAUUACACGAUAUAGCAGAGUAUUAUCGUUGCUUGCAAUUAUUAGGCUCGUGGAGGGCGAAUUUUGAACCAAAAGUUUAUAUUUCAGUCCCUAAUUUUUAAAAAAUUUUUAAGUUGCAUUAUCUCUUGCAGUCCCAAACAACUCUAAAAAUUCAUCACAACAACACUACACCACUCUUUCUAUUUAUAUAAUCUUUAGGAAGAUCACGCAGAAUCCUAUGCAAGUAGUCCACAAGUUUAAGCAGUUGAUAAAGGAGUGGGAUUAUAUUCUCACAGCUAAACUGACACUUUGAUUUUUUUUUUUUUUAUUUAUUUUUUUGUCAAACUUUCGAGGCUCAUCUCUGUAGCCUAGUUCAUUAUUCUAAUGAAUGAAGCGAUAGUGUACUACUUUUUCCUCAAAAAAAAUACUGAAUAAACAUAUGCAACUCAUUAUAUUGCAUGGGUACAUGAAUACAUGCAGAUACAAAUUUUUUUCGAAACAAUGUAAAAUGGGGAAUAGAUUUUGUUAACUAGAUUUUGUUAAAAAAAAAUGCAAGUAUUAUAACGCCAAUAUUUAAUUUUUAUGCAAUUAUUUAUUAAUAAGUGACCCUUCCAAAUAAUACGUGGAAUCUUACCAUUUAUUUGAUUUGAAUCAAUCAACGAUAUUUUAGUUUUAAAUUUUAAAUAUGUCGCAAUUAUAAAUUUAUUAAAAUAUCGUUGACCGUCUCAAAUUAUAUAAAUUAAAACAUUAAAUAAUUAAGGCUAAAUUACAGAAAAUUCUCUUGUAAUAACCCGUUUUUUCACUUUUCCUUCCUGACAUUUAAAAACCUACACUUUUUUCCCCUGUAAAAUAAAAAAUGUGCACUUCACCCCCUACCGUUAGGGUUCCGUUAAAAAAUAUAUUUUUAUGCCGAAAGUACCCCUCCGCCAUCUCCCUAUUGCUUCGCCUCCCUCCGGCUCGCCACCUCGCCGCCGCCUCGCCGUCUCUCAGCCUAACCGCCUCGCCAUUCCCACUGCCUCGCCCUCACCCACAUCUCCUUCGCCGUCCUCCGCCGCCUCGCCUUCGCCUUCUUUGUCUUUUUUCUACUGUCACCCACCUCGGUUUUCUCCUACUGUCGUCGAAAUCGAAAGGCGGCGAGGAUGCAGGAGGAGAAAGGGAGCAAGUGGAGAAGGAAAUGGAGAGAAAUCGCGGCCGAUUGAGGUGGGAAUCGCGGCCGAACGAGGGAGCGGCUGAGGAAGAUGGGAAAGAAGAUGACAAUGGCGAGAGGCAAAAUGGUCAUUUUAUAUACCGUAACCCUUCUGUGAAUAUUUUUCAUUUUAUAGAGGGGCAAAGUGUAGGUUUCUAAAUAUCAGGAAGGAAAAGUAAAAAAACGGAUUAUUACAGGAGAUUUUCUGUAAUUUAGCCAAUAAUUAAAUACAAAAUAAUUUAACGCUUCGCUAAGUUUUGUAAGUUUUUUUCUAUUUUCGAUUUUGCCACUCCGUGUUUCAUACGCAUAAAGAGGCCCCCAAACAAAAAGUAUACGGAAGAAACAAGGCACGCCCACUUCGCUUCCAUUGACACCCAAACUACUUCGGUGUAACGCUCUAAACAGUCUUAGAGAAUUUAUUCCCUGAACCCGGUGCAACCGUACACCCUGUGCACCGCAUAUCACACAGCGUUCAUUAAUUGCAUUAUUUUCCUCUCCUCCAAUAUUCGGAGGCUAAAGUGGACCUUUAUUUUUAAAUUUUAAUUUUUAUUAUAAUUUCUCGCUUAAAUUUUUAAGAUUAUUAUAAUUAGAUUUCAGAGUCUAAUAUAGUUGACUGAUUGAAUGACACUGCGACUAUAAAAUUCAGUUAAAAAAAUUAUACUACAAAACUUAAUUAUAAUAAUUAGAAAAAUGUAUAUCAAAAUUAUAAUAAAUGAAGAUAAAAAUAUACAGAAUUUAUCUGAACCAUUUUGAAUCGGCUACCUAUUCUUUCGAAUAUUUUGAUUUUACUAUUUAAUCUUUUGAUUUAUUUAAUUUAAGUCAGUCAAAAAUACUUUUCCUUCAAAAUUUAAGUUAACUAAUUUAAUAAAUUAAUAAUUACGAGAAUUAUAUAAAUUUAUAUCGAUUAAAUCUGUAAAAAUAAAUAACGUAUUUAAAUUUAAAAAACUAAAUAUGAAGUAAAUUAAAAUUUUAAAAUGAUUGAUAAAUUCAAAUAAAUUCCAUGGUUAUGUAGAGGGUAGAUGUGGUGGGGUACACCAAAUGUACGGAUAUCUCUGGUUCAGAGAAUAAUCAUCCCAAUCAUAGCCACGGUACUAACACGUGGACUCCACUUUCGCGGGGCCCACAUGUCAUACUCAAGGAUCCGUGGCAUAUCACCGUUACACCGAAUGAAAUGCGUCGUCUUCGUCGCCUCCUCUCACACUCCCCCGGUCUAUAUAAACCCGUCGACUCAUCCCCUCCUAUCUCUCUCUACUACCUCUCUAAUGGCGAUGGCGAUGGCGAUGGCGAAGGAGCCCUUGCUCCGACUCCGCGCCGCGGCGAACGAAGCCCUAGCCGAGUACGAGCCCGUCGCGCUCGUCCUCGCCCCUCUCCUCGCGCUCCUCCUCGCCCGCGCCCUCCACUCCGCCCUCGCCGUGCUCCACGAGAAGGGGAUCCAGGGCGCCGUGCUAGGGUUUCUCAUGAGCUCCGCGAAGUAACCUCUCUCUCUCUCCCUCUCUUUCUCAUUAGAUUGGGAUAAUUAAUGGCUAAUUUGGUGGUUAAUCCUCUUUUCGAUCGGUUGGAUCAGGUUGAUUCCCGGAGUGAGCGGCUACAUCGAAUCGGAGAAGAGGAAGGUUCGUGAUCACUCGAAUCUUUUUUAGUGAAUUCGAUUGUUGUGAUUAGAGAAAUCUAAGUUACUGUGCUGUGGACCUCGCGUGCAUGAGUAGGUUAUUUUGUUCAAGUUGGUAUUGAAUGGGAAGGGGAAUAAUAGUAGUUGUUUAAAACGAAUGGAAAUAGUAGAGUUAUCUAGGAUUCUAGAUCCCUCGAUCUUUGUGCCAAAUUGAGAGAAACCUCCUCCUCCUCCUCCUCUUCUUUUAAUUGGCCAUGGCUUUUAUAGUUUGUGUCAGAGUUUGAGAAUGUACUUUUGCCCAAACAAACCCUCAUUUAUGGUUCAGAGGUCCACAGAACCAAAAAGCAUUUUAGAAACUUCCUCCUACAAUGGUAAGAAAUGGUGAUGGGAACCACCACCAGAAAAGUGAAAAUUGUGGGCCAUGCAUUUUGUUGGUAGGUGAAGAGUGUUUUUUUGCUACUGUCCAAAGUGAGGGGUAAAAAAAAAAAAAGAGGAGCUUUUGAGCCCCAAAUUAAAAGCUCUAUUUGAAAAUUUCCCCUCUACUGCAACAGGAAACUAUUCAUUCUUUUUAAAUAGCAACUGUUAUACCGAAAUUACUAUGAUACAGCUACAUCAUAAUAUUUAGAAUGGAAUUUAGCGGAGCGAGUUCAUAGCAUCCGCUUUAGCUCGCUAAAAUGGGCGCUAUAAAACAGGGCCGAAAAGGACGCUAUGAGCUCAAAAGCUUGAAAAUUGCAAACAUGUCAAAAUGUCUUAUCCUGUCGGGCUUUAAAAUUAAAUAAAAUGAUCAAAAUCCUAUAAAUAGGUUAUAGAUUUUCUGUUUUUCUUUUGUCCUUUUGGUUUGCUAAAUCAUAAUAUUUUAAAAUUAUUCUUCUAGAUAAUGAGAUUAAAUAUGCCUUGCAGUACUAGAAAGAGGUAAUGUCUAGUUAUCUUUUCUUUAAAAUCAUAUGUACUUUCUAUAAGGAAUAUAGCAUAUUAAGUAAUUUUUUGUAAAAGCCGUUAUAGGUUCGUGGCACCCGAUAUGGCGCUUGCUAUCUACUUUCUAUUAUGAGAACCCCUAAAUGCUAUAUACCCACUAUCAGCUACUUACAACCUUAAAGCUAUUGGAGAACUUUAACAAAACUAUCGGUGUUACCAGGAACAACUUUACUCAAGAAGCAACUUUGUGGAAUCAUCAACAAUGCCAUUCAGACCAUUAAAACACAUGAUUUGUUUGUAUGCCAUGCAUGCAUGUUCAAUGUAUUACACAGACUUAACUGAAUUGAAACUAAUGGAUUUCUAUUGCUGGUUUUGUACUGUUUUUGUAGCUGUUUAGUAAGUUUAUUACUUAAACACUUUGCUCUAACUACUGUUCUUGGCAUCUUCUACUAGGUUGUUGACAAGUUGCAGUCAGGAAGCAAGUCUCAAAGAGAGAACUGGAGAACCGAGUUACCGAUUGUUGGGCUUAGUGAAGGAGCAAUUCAGGAACUUAAAGAAGCAAAAGCUAAAGAUGUGGUUUGGCAAGGCAAAUGCUCUGGUACAGUGUACGUCUGCUAUUAAAAAUUUAGAAGAUCAGCAGAUGCCGCAAAAUCACCCGAUCCGUUUCCAAUAAAUUAAAUGCUCAUCAAUCUUUUCAUGCUGCAGAUAUAUUGCUGGAAAUGAGUCUGAUGGCCAUUUUGCGCUGAUAAACGAGGCAUAUUCAAUGUAAGUUGAGACAACAUGGCGCAGUCUUAAUACUUUUCAGUCCAUCACUGUGUCCCUGAUUUAAAAUUGACCAACCUGACCUAGAUUGGGUUAUAUUCAGAUUAAAAUUAGUUUUGCAAGGAAACAAAUGUGAAUAUCUGUUGGACAAUGUCAGCUAUUCAUGUUGUAUUCGAUAUUAUUAUGGUAGUUAUCAUAUCGAUUAUCUUAAUUCAGGUUUUCACACACCAAUCCGCUACACCAGGAUGUGUUCCAGAGUGUGGCACGUUUUGAGGCGGAGGUGGUUGCGAUGACAGCUGCUCUUCUUGGCAGCAAGGAAAAGACAUCUGGAGGGCAAAUUUGUGGCAACAUGACAUCAGGAGGGACAGAAAGCAUACUAUUGGCUGUUAAAACAUCUCGUGACUAUAUGAGGUCGAAGAAGGGAAUUACUAAACCAGAAAUGUGAGUCAUAAGUGGUGUUGUUUCUAUGAAAUUUAGUCUUUGCAAUUUGAUCUGAACUUCAAUUUUGUCUUUAGAAUUUCAAUCGUAACAAUCUUGAAUCCCAUUUUGAUUUCACUCUCACUGUCAAUUCGACAAUUUGGUCCCUCAUGUUUAAUCACGAUUUCCAAUUUAGUCGUUAAGGUUUCUAUUUUAAAUAAGUGAAGUCUUACAAUGUUGGUUACAUGGUGCUUUUUGCAGCUAAUAUUCCUGUAGAAAGACUAUAUUGUUAUGCAUUACAAGCUUCAGGGGCUGAUUUGUUAUAAUGAAACUAUGAGGAUGAAAGUGAGACUAGGUCAAAAUUCAGGACUAAAUUUGUAAUUAACCCUGUUCAUAUUUGUCUUGCUCUCUUGCUAAUUGGCUAACUUAACAGGAUAAUACCUGAAUCAGCACAUUCUGCAUAUGACAAGGCUGCACAAUAUUACAACAUCAAGCUGUGGCGUGUACCCGUAAACAAGAACUUUGUUGCAGACGUUAAAGGAAUAAAGCAACGCAUCAACAGAAACACCAUACUGGUAUUUUACUCGUCCUCCACUCUUGUACCACACUCCGUAUGUUUCUGUUGAUCAGGAGUGUGGUUUAAUAUCAUUAUUGCACUAUUGAUCUAAGUAAACAAGAAUUAUGGUAUAGCUUACAGUAUCAGUUUCUCAUAAAAUGGAUUAAUGAUUAGAUUUUCAACACUAACGUGCUUUUCUUGUUCCAGAUUGUUGGUUCUGCACCCGGAUUUCCACAUGGCAUUAUCGAUCCCAUAGAAGUAUGUUGAAUUGUGGACAUCCUCCAAAAAAAUUUCGACUGCGUCACGGUAUUUGUUUGUGGAGUUUUUGCCUCCUUUGUUACUUACUCGAUAGUAUGAUUUUUGCAACUUAGGAGCUUGGAGAACUGGCGUCAUCUUAUGGUAUUUGCCUGCAUGUUGAUCUUUGCCUUGGUGGCUUCGUUUUGCCAUUUGCUCGUAAGCUUGGGUAUUUAUUCUUAGCGGGAUAAUCCAUUGCAUUCGGUUACACUCAACAUCUUAUGUUUUUAUGUUCUACUCCACUUUUAUCAUUGUUGCACUUUAAUAAUAGUUGGAACCAAAUAGAAAAUAAUAAACACAUUGUAUAUGAGAUCUCAAGUGGGUUUCGUCUUCAUCUUCAAAUAAAGAGUUAAUCUGAGAGUUUCCUAGCAUGCCGGCGUGUACAUGACAUGUUUAGAAUGCUAAAUUGGUCUCAUCUUAGAACCUAGAUUAAAUGCUAACCGCAUUCUGAAUUUUCAAGUGUGGAAGUGAAGAUCAGAGCUCGAAUCAUGAGGCCACAAAAGCAAAAAUUUACUUGGGUAUAUUGAUGUCAAGUAUACCUCAUGUAACAAACCAUAACUUCUACUUAUAUUGUGAGAGGCAAUUCAUUAAGUAGUGGAUGCAAUAGUAGAUGACCUUUUAGUGUUUUGUUGACAUUUUGGUAAUGGUAUUUGUAUGCAUAUAAUGAAACAUUGUGAUCUAUUCAUUAUUCAGCGCUUUAAUUUAGUUUCAAAUUUGAAGAAGUGGAGAAGGGACAUGAAUUCAGGUUUUUGACUAGUACUAUUGAGGAAAACACAUGGCAUGUUACAGCAGAAAUGAAAGUUGACACAGCAUCAAUGGAAAAAAAAAAAAAAAAACUUGAAGAGGAAAGAGCAUUAUUUACAAGAAAGAACAGACAAAACAGUGCUGGUUGCUGAUGAGUGAACUCCAUAGCUUUAGAUUUUUAAGAACCACUUGAAUUGUUAGUUGCACUGCCAAUGUAAUGUACUCUGCACUACACACUUCAUUCUUUUCUUAUGAAGAUAUGAUGACACAUAGUGAUCUAAUUUUCGUACUAGUAGUCUAGGUCCAUUUCCAGAAUGAUUCCUAUCGGCAACAUGUGCUGUCAUAUAGAUGCUUUAAGAUAACCAGUAGUAGUUUAUUGCAUCAUUCCGUAAGUUUUGCAUUUUUACCUUCUAAUUUAUGUUUUCCCGCAAAGGCCAUACGACUGUAGUUUUAAACAGUUUGUAUUAUGCAGGUAUCCACUUCCACCUUUCGAUUUCUCUGUGAAAGGAGUUACAUCCAUUUCAACAGAUGUCCAUAAGUAUGGAUUAGCUCCUAAGGGCACGAGUAUAGUUCUUUACAGAAAUCAUGAAAUUAGAAAGGUAAAAUAUCUAUCUGCUUACGCUGAGCUAUAAAUCUCUUCCGUAGUUCGAAGGAAACAUACUGAAUUUUUUGAGGGCAUCUAAAAACUAUUUCAGAAAUUCUUUAGAUGUAGAUUAUUGAAGAUUGAAGAACUCUAUGACUUCAUUAUCGAUGGGUACUAAUUCAUUAUUCAUUUUGUUUGCUUUGCACUAUCGACUAUUGGUGAUAUCUUCAACAGCAUCAAUUUGUUGCCGGUAAGUAAUUGUCCUUUACAUGAUUUUUGAAGAAUUAUUGUUAUUAUUAUUUUUCCUUCUGUUCUGAAGCAUGCUACUUUCUGAAGGUUUUCAGUUUCAUCCAAAUUGAAAAUUGGUUGCUAGUUGGACUCAUUCGCAAAUUAGCUGAUCAAUCACUCUAUUUUCUUAAUUAGGUUAGGUAGCCUAAAAUCAAGAGAUAGUAUAGUUGGACUCAUUCACAAAUUAUCUGAUCAAUCAGUCUAUUUUCUUAAUUAGGUUAGGUAGGCUAAAAUCAACAGAUAUGAACUUUUUUAAGGCAACAGAAAGGAUGAAAACUGAAUAAAAUAAAUGCUAAGUUAUGACCUGAUGAUGAUACUCUUAUCUAGGAAAUAUUUCUUCCUUGUGGUUGACUAAUACAAAAAAACAACAACUUUGAUUGGUGUAAGGUGGUUUUUUUUUUAUUGAAAUUUUGUUUUUAUAAAAUAAAUAUCUAAUGCAACUCCUUUCUUUUUCAUUCAUGGCCUUAUCUCCUUGUUACAGUAACUGAGUGGUCAGGCGGGCUGUACGUUUCCCCUACGAUGGCAGGAAGCCGGCCUGGUGGAUUAAUCGCCGGGGCUUGGGCCGCUAUGAUGUCACUAGGCCUGAACGGUAAACAAUAACUUGUUUUUCUUUUUUUCCUUUAUUUCCAACUGAACUUGAUUAAUACAAAGUUUCACUACAAUGCUUAAAACAAAAGUUGCACCUCCCCUGUUAUCUUAUUAUUAGGAUACUUGGAAAAUACGAGACAGAUAAUGGAAGUAGCGAAGAAGAUACAGAAAGGGUAAAUUGCGACAAAAAGUUUCACUUCAUUUUCAUUUGUGAAUGAAAAACUCAAGAUGUUCUUAACAUCAGAGACCUGUCCACAGGAUAGAGGAGAUUCCACAGUUGUUUAUCGUUGGAAAACCGCACAUGACUGUGAUAGCUUUCGGCUCGAAUGUCCUCGACAUCUUUGAGGUGAACGAUAUAAUGUCGUCGAAAGGGUGGCACCUGAGUGCUUUGCAGAGACCUAACAGGUAAACCCUAGUUUUUACUACCUAUUGUUUAAUCUCGUGCGAUGCAUGACAAAGAAAAGCUAAAAAGCAAUUUCAUUUAAAAAAAUAUCUUCUUUCCCCCCACACCCCCCCCAACAUAAAAAACCUUUUCUUUUCUUCUUUUUUUUUUUUUUCUGUUUUGGAAACAUGAUACUGCUUUCAAUUUUGCAACUUAAGAUCAAUUUUCAACUUUUAGGCCAAAUUGUCCCUACGCUGUGGGGCGGAGAUGCACAAUUUCAAAUGUGCGCAGUGAUAAAAACAAUUCAUUGACGAAUGUUUUUCGAGAUUAAAUGAUAGUUUUUGUGUGCGCGCGCGCGCGCAAUAAGGUCUAUAAAGGACUAUUGGAAAACUUUAUGUAUCUAUAGAAAAUUAUAAUGCACGGUAUAAAGGAUAAAUCAAAGUAGAAUGCUACGGAGACCAUGAUUGUAGCGAACUAGAGAUUGAGAUGAAUUAAAUAAACCGAGAAUAUCGUCCGUGCACUCUGCUAAUGUUUGAUCUUUAUUGGACUACCUAAAUUUUUAUAUUUAUUCUACAUUAAUGUUAAAUUGUUUAUAACAUCUAACAAAUCACUUCUUCGCUCAGCCUUCAUAUUUGCGUGACCCUUCAACACGUUACUGUUUUCGAAGACUUCCUCAACGAUCUAAAAGAUUCUGUUAAAAUUGUAAGCGCUCUCUCUCUCUCUCUCUCUCUCUCUCUCUCUCUCUCUCGUUUUUUUUUUGUUUAAUUAUUUUCUGCAAUCCUCUUUACAUUUAUUUUGCCUCCCCUUUACUUAAUUCUCUGCGCUGUUCUAUGGCUUCUCUUUUAGGUAAAAGAGAACCCCGGCCCGAUAGACGGAGGGAUGGCUCCGAUCUACGGUGCGGCAGGGAAGAUGCCGGACCGAGGAAUGGUGCGGGAUUUGUUGGUGGAAUUCAUGGAUGGCACUUGCUAGGUGAGCUAUUGAGCUCUACACAAACAUCAUACAACACCAUCUUUUAUUCUUCAUCUCUAUUUCUGUUAACCACAUUUACAAUAAAAACAUGUGCUGAAUAUCUCCAAGUGAUUUCUAUUUAUUCACUCCCUGUGUUAGCAUAUAACCGAAUGGGUAUAAAAUUGUAACAUGUUGUACAUGUUAAUCUGUGUAUUUUCAUUUCUACUCCUGUUGCCACAUUUACAAUAAACAUAUGCUGAAUAGCUUUUAGUGAUUUCUAUUUGUUUACUCCCGUGUUAGCAUAUAGUCAAAUGGGCAUAGAUUGUAACGUGUCGUACAUGAUGAUCUGUGUAUCUGCGCUGCUUGACUUGUUUAUACAAUGGUAAAUGCAAUUUCAUAUCCGUGCUGAUGAAUCCCAUUGAGUGGUUUUAUGUCCUUGGAUGUUUCUGUGUUGAAAUUUAAUGCUAAACUUAAUUCUCUGUUCGUAUGGUAAUGCAAUUUCAUAUCUGUGCUGUUGUGUGUCCUUGAAUGUUUCAGUGUUGAAACUUACGACUAAACUUAAUUCUCUAUUCGAAUGUUACCUUACAAUCCCCAUAAGCUUUUGGAUUGUACUUCUAGAAUCGGGAUCCAAUAACCACUACUGGAUGUGAGUAGGGAUGCAAACGGAUCUGGAUUGGUGGAGCUCACACGCCAAUCCGCCCCGAAUUGGGCAGUAAACGAGAGAAAAUAAACUGAAACAAGAAUAAUUUUAUGAUCCGAGAUGAAUUUGGGAAGAAAUUUUGACCCGUCCCGAAUCCGUCCCGAAAACUAUUUAUAUUUUAAAAAAAUAUUCCUAAAAAAUAAUAUAUUUACAAACAAGGUUUAAAAUACAAAUAAUUUAUUGCUUUCAUUUUUCAUGUAUUUAAAAUUUUUGAAUUUUAUUUUGAAUUGUGAUUAACAUUUUUAAUUUUUAUAAUUGAUAUUAUUAAUUAUAUAUAUAAUAUUAUUAAAAAUUAUUAUUUUAUAUUUUAUAAAAUAUUAAUAAUAUUAUAAUUUUAUAAAAAAUAUUAGUUCGUGGGGCAGAUUCGGAAACCGGCGGGAGGCAGGUUACGAGGCGGGGCGGAUUAUGGAAUAUAACUUUUAAUCCGUCACGAAUUCGAGACGGGAGGUGGGGCGGAAGGCGGGACAGGGCUCUUACCCCCAGAUCCGUCCCGUUUUGUAUCCCUAGAUGUGAGUUGAAUUGGUCGUUCGAUGGAGCCACAGAAGUUUAAGCAAUUGGAUUAUUCUACGAGGAUCCAUGCCCAACAAUCUGGGUAAUAGGAAAGUCGGACUGUUUGGGCUUGUUCGGCUUCGAUAAAGGCUUUUUUAAAAGUGUUAUUUGAUUAAAACUAUUUUAAAAAGUAUAGAGUAUAUUUUCAUUAGAAUUAUCUAACGGCUUCAUAUUACUGCAGUAAGUGGUGUCAAUAUCUUAUUUACCGUGGGGUACAUUAAAAUUACCAAUUUUUGAGCUAUACGAAUAUUAGACAAAUAGUGUUGAAAAUUAUAAAAUUUAAUUUUUAAAAAUUUUAAAUAAUCUAAUUCAUGUUAUGGUAUUGUACUCCGAUUUGGAUAUUUUAAAUAACACGGGAAUAAACAGCUCUGCUCUUUUUUCCAUUGUUGCUUAACUCAAUAUAUUAGUACGUGUAAGUCUAAGGAAAAUUUUUUUUUCUUAUGGUAAACUUGAAUUUGCCCCCUUAUAAUGAGCGUCUCUUCACUUUACCAAUCUUUAGUUUAAAAAUGUUGCACUUAAUUAUUCUAUAAUAUAGUAUAUUUUUACAUUUUUAUUUUCUAAUUUAAAAGAUAUACUUAACUAUCUUAUAAUUUUAUUAUUUUUAUUUUACUAUAAAAAUCUACUACCAAAUAGGAUACUAUUCUAUACUUUUUUAAAAAAAUUAUUUUAUUAUUCUAUUUGAGAUUGAUUUUUUUCGUUGAAACAAAAGUAAAAUUAUAAAAUAAUUAAAUGUUAUUUUUUAAAUUAUGGAAUAUCAAAAUAUAAAUAAGCUAUGCCACGGAGUAAAGAUUUGGCCUUUCUCUUAUUAAGGCUUAGUUUGAUAUUGAUAUCUAUCUAACGCUAUUAGAUAAAAUAAAAUGAAGUUGAGAAAAAAAAAAGUAGGAAUAUAUUUCUGUAUUCUCCGAUAGGACCGUAGAAAAUAUAUCAUAACCAACUCAUCGUGAUAUAUGAAAAAUAAUAUUAUGUACGGAAACAAACAGAAUAUUUUUCUAACGUACUUUCUCACCGCACGUAACAUAAUCUCCCCGCAAUCCCAAACAAAGGCUAAACCCUGUUCAUCCUUUUCUUCAAGAGUAUCCAAUUACCCAACAACGACGACCCCAACCCCGAGUCAGGUUUAAACUUUAAACCCCAUGCUGAUGCGGUGGACCACUGUUUAGUGUUCACCCUGUCUCUCUCUGCCACUAUUCAGCGCUGUGGCCACUUUCUCUCUCUACCCGUGAGUGUUUUUUUUUUUUUUUUUUUUUUUUUUUUUUUUUUUUUUAGUGAACUUCGAAUAUUACUUCUAUAAUUUCGUAAUUUCUCACUUUAAUACUAUAUGAUUUAAAGUAUAUUAAGUUAGUAUUAUGUAAUUUUAUUUUUAUCUUUUCGUCAGCUUUUUCGUUAAUAUUUUAUUAAAUUAUAUACAAAAAAAUUUCAGAUACCGUACAUAGGUUUAUCGAAUAUUCACUUUAGUAUUCUUUAGCCUUAAUUUUGUCACUGAUUUAACGAAAAAUAUUAAUAAAAUUGAUAAUAAAAAAAUAAAAAUGAAACCAUAUAUCAUUAAAUUGAUACAUUUUAAACCACAGGUACUAAAGUGAUAAAGUGCGAAAGCACAAGGUGGUAUUUGAAGUUUUUUUUUUUUUUUUAAGCUAAAUUACACCUUUGGUCCUCAAACUAUGAGGUAUAGUUUUAGUUUCCAAAUUUUAGUUUGUCGCAAUUUUUAUCUCAAAUUAUAAUUUAAUUUAAUUUGCUAAAUUUUGAUAAAUAAUUGAUAUACAAUAAUAAUAAUAUUUUAUUAUUAUUAUUAUAUCAUCAAUCACAACAUUUUAUAUCACUUUAACAUUAAUAAUUUGACAAUAUUUAAUCAAUAAUAUAAAAUUAAAUUGUGUAACUUGAUUGCUAAAAACCAAGGGACUUGAGCUAGAAACUAAAGAUCAAUUCGGAUUGGCUCUUGUUCGUUUAGAAAAUGCGGUUAGAGGAACUAUAUGUGGAGCAAUCAGGCAUAAAUUGAUACCGACUCCUCAAAAUUUGGUAACUUCAACUUCAUUAACAACUACUUAUGAAUCGUUUUUUGGCCCACACAUUGUAUCUCAAGUUUUGGAUCGAAAAAAUCCAUCGACACAAAUCGUUCACCCUUUAUCUGAAGUUUUGGAUCGAACAAAUCCAUCGACACAAAUCGUUCACCCUUUUUCUCAAAUUUUAGAUCGAACUAAUCUAUCGGCACAAAUCAUUUAUGAAUGGAAAUUGAGUUAGAACUAAAAUUUGAGAAUCACAAUAUAGCGAGUUAAUUUCAUACAGGUUCCUGUAAACAUAAUAAAUGAUAAAUAUAUCCCUACAAAGUUCAACUUUCAUAUGUUGUCCCUAUAAAAAUUUUAAUAUUUUCAAAAAUAUCCAUCUGGUUUAUUACCGUUAAAGAACCGUUAGAAAACCGUUUAUAUUUUCAAUUUUACCAUCACAAAUAUAUCUCUCCAAAAAUCAUAACAAUAUAAUAUAAGAGGGAUAAAAAUGUCAAAAAUUAAUCAGAAUAAAGUAUUCAAUCUAUGGUUAACUAAAAUUUUCCAACGAAUUUUAACGGAAGGGACAUAUUUGAAGACGUCAAGAAAGUUGAAGUAGGAAUAUAUUUAACAUUCAUCAUAUUUGUAGGGACUUGUAUGAAAUUAAUCCUAAUAUAACGGAUUGCAUACAUAAAAAAAACCAAAAAUGUAAUAUAUUUAUUUAUUGGCGGGACCUCUCAUUAUUAGAGAUGUCAACGGGUCGGAUUCGGAGCGAAGUUUCAAAAAUCUGAACCCGAACCCGACUCCAAACCCAAGACUCGGACCCGAACCCGAACUCAAACUCGACGGAUUUUAAAAAUCCAUAUCCAAAACCGAACCUGACCAAAAAUCCGAAACCCGAAUCCGAACCCGAACCCGAAAAUUUGAACCCGAAAUAAUUAAAUUUUUUUUUCAAUAUUUCAAAAUAUAUUAUAUUAAACCUAAAUUUUUAAAAUAAAAAUUCAAAUAUAACAUCGAAUAUAUANAGUCAAAAUUCAUAUUCGAAUCCAUAUCCUUCGGGUUUCUAUUUUUAAUAUUCAUAUCCGAAUCCAUAUUCAUUUAACAUCGAAUAUAUUCAUUUCAUUCGGAUUCGAGUUCGGAUAAAAUUUUGAGUAUCCAUACUCCCUCCCUACUCACUAUGCCCUCCCUCCAAUUGGCGGGACCUGUUACCAAGCCCUCCCUCCAAAUUCAUGGGUUGGAUGAGGAGAGCAGUAGCCACUAGACAAGAAGAUAAGAAUAAGCGAAGGGGACCUCUCGUUUUCUGCUUUUCCUCUUUUUUUUGGAAAAACAUUUUUUUUGUAUGGCGCUUUUGGAGAGAAAAAGACCUGUAGGGGCGGGGGUGCGGGGGAGCGUUGUUACGUCCCAAUCUGAUAGGAUGCGUUGGAUCGUUAUCCGGAACAGAUUCAGGUAGGCACGUGACAACACCCGCCACAUAUACGGCACAAAACCAAUUAACCAAGCAAUAAAUACCAAAUUUUCUGCUGUAUAUGUACGGGAGAAAUAUUAUUAUGAGCAUUUAUUUGUUUGCUCAGCGAAUCCGUUCAAAAUGCUAAACUGCAUUUUGAACCAUCAUGACAGUACAUUUAUAUAUACGGAAAAAUUUCAUCACUAUCCUCCCAAAUAAGUCUAAUAUCAUGAAUACCUCUAUAAAAAUGAAAAUAUCAUAAAUAACAUUUUUUUUAAAAAAAACUUUCGAAAAUAAUUUUUACACUAAUUUAUUAUCAAUUUUGAAUAAACAACAAAUAAAAUUUCAACUUUGCCCUUAUUGUCAUUACCAUCUUAAAAUAUUUAACUGACUAUAAAAUUAUUUAUACGUUUAUAAAUACUCUUUUAAAUUUAUAAAUAACCUACAUUUAGAGAUAAUUUUUUUAUCAAUUAAAAAAAUAUAUAUAAUCCUGACAUGUUGAGCUAAAAAAUAAAAAAAAAUUAAUUAAAAAAAAUUUAGCAAAAAAUUAUUUAAAGUAUCAAUUGACUCCUUAAAAUAAAGUUAAACAAUUUAUUCAAAAUAUAACUUAAAUAUAUAUAUAUAUGCAUGAUGUGAAUUAAGUUAUUUGAAUUAGCACAAAUUUCUGUGCUUUGGUAUCUCGAAUUUUAAAAUAAAUGAUAUAAAGUAUUUUAUUUUAGUAUCUUAUUUUAUAAACCACACAGCAGUAAAAUAAUAUAUUUUACUGUUUAUUUUAAUAUUUUAAAAUAAAUAUAUCAUGCUAAAAUACUUUUGUAAAAAAUUUUAGAAGUUAAGGAUAAAAUGGACAUUUCGACCAUAUUUAUGAUAAUCUAAAUAUUUUAUCAUUCUAUAAAGACAUGAAUAGUAAGGUUAAGGGUAUAUUUGAAAUAUAAUAAGUAUUUGUAGGGAUAAUUAUGAUAUAAUCAAAUUUAUAGGGACAUCUGUGAUAUUUUUAAAGUUUAGAGGGGCACAAAUGAAAUUGACCCUAUAUAUGAACUACAAAUAUUUUAGAAAAAAUUUGUAACACCACACAGUCAGUUCCACACUUUUUUCUUUUUUUUUUUUUUUACGUACUAUAUAAUUUAAAGUGUAUUAAUUUAGUAUCUCGUAAUUUUAUUUUUUUAUUGUUCCCUCUACUAAUUUCUUUUCAUUACGUCUGUGAUAAAGUUAAAAUUAAAAAGUACUAAAUUGAAUAUUCAAUAAACUUAGAUGAAAUAUCUGAAGCUUGUUGUAUAUAAUUUAACGGAAUAUUAACGAAAAAGCCAACAAAACAGAGGACAACAAAACCACAGGGUAAUAAAGUGAGGAAGAACGAAACUACAGAGGUGAUAAUUUGAAAUUUAUCCUAAACUUAUAUAUUCAUUUAAAGAUAAUUAUUUUUUUUACUAAUCUUAUCAAUUUUAAAAACAUUAAAAAUAAUUAAAAAUUAUAAAUUUUAGAAUAAGUGACUUUACACAUCUAAAUAUACAAAUAGCAUUUUUCUUACAUUUUUUUGCCCUAAAUCUUAGAGGCCUAUAUAGCUCUUUAGCGGAGUUUAAUUUUUUAUAAUCUUUGAUUCAAAUUAUUUAAUUCGUUAUCAUUAAAUCUCGUAAUUUAAUUAAGUUGAUACAAUUGUAUUAUAAUUAUAAUAAUCACUAAAAUAUCACAUCAUUAUUAUAUUAGUAUAAUACUAUUAGCUGAUUACCUAAAUUGAAUUGUAAAACAUAAUUAUUAUAUUUUAAAAAAAUUGAGCAAAAAAUUAAAAUAAAUUAUAGUUUGAGAGUAAAAAUAUCACUCGCUACAAAAUUCGACGGUCAAAAGUAUAGUUAUAAUCAAAAUAUUAUUACCUAUACAGAUUACGAUUCAAAAGGCUUGGUAAUAUACAUACGUAAUCUAUAGAAUAUAUAAGACUUUAUUUAUCGAAUAUGAAAUUAUGAAUUGGAGCGGUCCAAUUUUUCUACAGCUUCGUUGGAUGUUCGUACACUAUAACACAUGGGAUUAAUUUAUAGUUUCAAGUUCGAGACAUCUAUUUCUUUCAAAAUACAAAACAAUGUUUUUAAAAAUAAUAUCUAAUAUAUCCUUCAAAAUUUAAGAAUCAUCUAAUAUAUUUCGAUUUAUAGAAACUACUUCAAAUACAAUUCUAACUAAUGAAAUUUAAAGUUUAGAAAGGUAUUUUGAAAAUAAAAAAAUUAAAAGUAGAUAUAGAGGUCUCCUUGCAAAUUAAGAGGCUGUUAGGACCAAACCUGACUAGGUUAGUAUCUCAAUUUGGUCAAACCAAGUUAGACGUGAUUUAAUUAGUUAAUUUUAGUCUAAUUUAAUAAUACUGCGACUAAGUGCGCUGCUUUAGAAUUUCGAAAGGCUGUAAAAAAAUUUAGGACGACUUUUCCGUCCAUAUGGAAAACAAGCUAUCUACCUUCUACACCAAAAUACUGCUAAGAUUCUAAUAGAGUACAAAAUCAUAUUGACCAUCAUACUACAUGUGGUAAGGAUUUGAUCAUUGAUAUUCAAAAUUUAAAAUUUGAAACCUAAUUAUUAUUAUUUUAUAUAUAUAUAUAUAUAUAUAUAUAUAUAUAGAAUUAGGCUGGAAUACUAUUAAUAGUAAAAUACUCUUUUUGCUAUCAAGUUUUUAACUCUUGGAUGAAAAAUUGUAGGGUCAGGAUGAUAUUAGUCGGUUAGAGUUGAAUGGUCUCCUUAGGGUUGAGUGGUCCCCACUGGGUUAUAUUAUUUAAUCCAAUGGUUAGAAAUAAUAAAAAGAGUUGAUCCAAAGGCUAAAAAACUGGUAGCAACAAUGAGAUUUUGCUACUAAUAGUAGCCCAGUCCAACUCUCUCUCUCUCUCUAUAUAUAUAUAUGUAGCUAGACUGGAAUACUAUUAAUAGCACCAAAUUAUUGGUGCUAUUAGUUUUUUAGUAUUUGGAUUAAAAAUAUGCAGUUAGGAUGGUGUGGGUCUCACAGGGUUGAGUGGAUGGUUGGUUGAAUAAUAUAAUUUAACGGGUAAAAAUAAUCAAAGGGUUAACGGUGAAAAAUUCGAUAACAUUAUGCCCUUGAUGCUAUCGAUAGUAUCCCAGCCGUACUCUAUAUAUAUAUAGAGAGAGAGAGAAUUGAGCUUCUAUGUUUUUAAAAGUACCAAAUUAUUAAUAUUUGUAGGUUUUUGGUCAUUGGAUUAAGGGAUGUGCGGUUAUGAUGAUAUAGGCCCCCUAGCAUUGAGUGAGUGAUUGGUUGAAUAGUAUAAUAUAACGGUAAAAAAUUUGUAACAUUAAGUAUUUGGUACUUUUACAAGCACCAUAGCUGAACUCUCUCUAUCUCUCUCUCUAUAUAUAAUAUAUAAAGUAAGCUACUAGAGAUUUUUGUAUUUAUAAAUUAUUUUCGAUAAUAGAGCAUUCGAAUCAACGAUCUAUACCGCUAAAUAUAAUUUACAGGAGCUUUUAGAAAACAAAAUUUGUAAUUUUUUUAAACUAUAAUAAAACUUAUUAAGCGGAUGUAAAAUAAACGGCCAAAAUCAAACAACAUAUUGAAAAAAAAAUUUAAAACUUUCAAAUUAAGAUGCAAGUUAUUAAUCUUUAUCUAAAUAGAUAAUAAAAUUUUUUAUCAAAAAUUCAAUUAAUUUAAUUCUUUUACACAGUUGAACUAGCAAGAAUUUAUAUUGAAUAUUAAAAUUUAUCAAUUAUAAUAAUUUUUAGUCAUAAGCUUUUAAAAUAAUAUCGAAAAAUUAAAAAAUUAAUUUUUUAAAUUUUAAAAUAAUAAAAUAUAUUUAAUCGAAAAAUUUUUUUAUUAAAAAUAAUUUAAAAGUAUAGAGGCAAUUGCACAGAUAAUACUGGUACUAAUGUAUCGGGGAUUUUUGUCAUGUCAAUAAAAUUUUCAAAAAAAUUUACACUCCCUGCGUAUAUUGUCCCGCUUUUUUUAAACCCAAAAAGGGUUCGCGGCUAAUCCGAGAGCGCACCAAUUCCCGGUUCGAAACCUAACCCCGCAGUACGACUGCCCGUAUAGAAACUAUCUAUACGAUAGGAUCUCGACCGUUGGGCAAGUAAGGUGAUCGAUCUAGUUCGUGCGGCGCGCAUAGAAUUUCUAUGCGGGGGGGGUUGCGGGGGUUAACGAUUUCUUUUGUUAGGUGGCCGACCGUACGGUCUCGACCGGCGCUAUGCGGUCACCGUGCGCGCGGGCCGAGGAAAGCAGUCGUUGGCCUUUCUCUCUCUUUAAUAAGCGAGUUAUAAUGUCAGGAUCGUCCCUCCACUAUCUGAAUAUUGCAAUUUAGUCCUCCAUUGCCACUUCAUAAUUUUAAAAAGUUUAUCCAUUUAACUAUUUUAUAAUUUAUUUUUAUUUUACCCAAAAAAAUAUACCAUCAGAUCAGAUAGAAAAUUAAACAUUUUUUCAUAAACAAUAUAAUAUUAUUCUAUCCACCAGCAGAUUCUUAAACUGAAACAAUAAUAAUUUAAAUUGCAAAAAGAUAAAAUAAAAAUAUGCUAAAUCACAACGUAGCCAAGUGCAACUUCUAACAAUGGGGAAUGACAGAAUAAAAAUAUAUUAUACCACUACAGGCCAAAUUGAAGUUUACACUUACACUUAUUUUUGUUGUAUAUUUGGACUGCAAUCUAGGGAUGUCAAUGACCGGAACAGGAGCGAGCUGAAACCAACUCGUGUUCGGCUCGUUUAAUAAAUGAGCCGAACACGAGCUAACUCGUUAAAGUAUCGAGUCAAAAAAUACAAUUUGUGUUCGGCUCGUUAAUAAACGAGCGGAACACGAGCUGGCCAACUAACAAUAAAUUAAAAAAAUUAAAUUAUAUAUAUAUAUAUAUAUAUAUAUAUAGUUUGACUGGGCUACUAUCGGUAGUAAACUGCUAGGUUUACUACCGAUUUGUUUUUUAUGAUAGAGCUUCCAAAUUGACGAUCGGCACCGUUGAACAUGAUCUAGACCAUUUAAAUUAUCUAGAAAUCAAAUUUCAUGAUUUUUUGGCAUCACUAACUGAAUGAUCAAAGGGUCACAAAAUCUAUAAUUUUAAUGGUCGAUAUGGUCCGUUUGCUCGUUUAACGGUAUAGAAGAGUGUUCAAAUCAACUAAAUUUUUAUUAAAAAAUUCUUUGAACUAUUUAAAAUAAGAUCUAGACUCUAGAUCUCAAAUAUAAAAAUUGUAUCAUCACUUUUUGAAGGAUAUUCAUUUACAGCCAUUCAUUUUUCUGUUCACUUGAUGGACAAGAGAACAAUAUCGAAAAUGUGUGAAAUUUGAUUUCUAGAUAGUUUAAAUAGUUUAGAUCAUGUUUAACGGUGCCGAUCAUUAAUUUGGAAGCUCUAUCAUCGAAAACAAAUCGGUAGUAAACGGCUCGAUUUACUACCGAUAGUAUUCUAGCAAAAUUCUCUCUCUUUAUAUAUAUAUAAUAAAUUUAUAAAAUUUUACACAUUAGAUUUUGAUCUAAUGGUUAAAACUUUACAUAUAAAUAAAUUUUUUUAAAUUGACCUCGACUUUACAUUUUUAUUUUGCUAAAAAUUAAAUAAUAAAAAUAUAUAUUAUAUAUAAUUAUUUAUUUUUGUAUAUAAAUAUAAAUUAUAUAAAUAUAAAAUAUGCGUAUUCGAGCUGUUAUCGAGCCGAACACGAGCGAGCUGGCCUCAGCUCCUGUUCGACUCAUUUACUAAACGAGUAAUUCGAUCUCGAGUUCAUUUCGAACCAAACACGAGGUUGCAAACAGCAAACUGGAUUGCCACCUCUACUACAAUUCAACUUUUUUCUAAUUUUCAUUCACAUGUUAAAUUUAACUUUAACUCAUGCUAUUUAAUAGCUUUUUGAAUACAAAUUUAUGAUAUACAAUUUACUUUAACAAAAAUAUAAUUCUUAUAUAAAUUGUAUAAUAUAGUUUAAUUAUAACUGUUAAAAUAGAUAAAUCUAAAUGUUGAAAUAUAUACGUGAUCUCCUAGUAAAACUAACUAUUUAAAUGUUGAAAUAUAUACACAUGAUCUCCUAGUAAAAUUAAAUAUAUUUUAAUAAUAAAAUAGUAGAUUCAGAAUUUAAAAUAAUUCAUAAUUUAGAUAGAUUUAAUAUAUUUUUAUAGUUUUAUUUUAUAUAUAUUCAGUAUAAUAAAUUACUAAUCUUUUUAUUUUGAGACUUAAAAAAUGGUACACAUGCGAAGUGUUUAAUGACGGACGUACAGGGACCACGUUUCAAAUUCAGGAUGGGUGGGGGACGAUCGAUACAUUUUCCCCCUUUUAAGAGCAUCGACACCUCCUCCUCUCCCCUCUCUCUGUACUCUCUCUCUCUCUCUCUCUCUCUCUCCACACCGAUCCCUUUACUGCGAGAUAAACCCUAAUCUCUGUCCUCUUUCACUUUCUCUCUCUAAAGCGAUUUCGAGGUGAGGUGAAGAAGCAUCAAACAAAGAGUAGCAGCAUAAUAAGGUGGAAGACGAAGCAAAAGCAUAUAUAGAGAGAGAAAGAGGCAUGAAGAACCUUUACCCGAAGGGGAAGGGACGGAUCCAUCCAUCUCCGUCGUCGUCGUCGUCGUCGUCGUCCUCCUCCGCCGGGGCCGCGGCGGACGCCAUGGCGGUGCUCCGGCUCCUCCCCGCGGCGAUCGUCGCCCUCACCGCGGCGCUCGGGGACGACGACAAGGAGGUGCUUGCGUACCUCAUCACCUGGUCCAUGAACGGCCCCGCGCCGCCGCCCUCCGCCGCGGCGUCGCCGGCGGAGCGGCGGCUCUUCCGCACGCCCGCCGCUGCGGCGGCGGCGCAGCAGCAGCAGCAGCAGCACCGGGCGCUCUUCAGCUGCGGGUGCUUCGACUGCUACCGCAGCUUCUGGAGCCGGUGGGACUGCUCCCCCGAUCGCGAGCUCAUCCACCAGGCGAUCGACGCGUACGAGGACCACGUCGCCGCCGCGCAAUCGGAGCUCCACGCCGGCGGCUGCGGCGGCGGAGCGAGGGCGACGCGGCGGCGGGAGCGGCGAUCGUCGGAGAAGAGAGAGAAAGCUAAAGCGAAGAGGGGGAUCAUGAGCAGCGAAACGAGGAGCGUUUGCGACGAUGGAGAGGCGGUUAUAAAGGAGGCGGAGGGGGAGGGGGAAGAGGCGGUUGCGGUGGCCGUUGAGGAGGGGGAGAAGCUUCUAGAAGCGGGGGAGGAGAAGCUUCUAGAAGAGGCUAGUAGGGAGAGCGAGGAUACUAGAGAAGGUGCGAAGGAGGCGGUGGCGGUGGAGGUGGAGGUGGAGGUGGAGGUGGAGAGGCGGAGGGGGUGGGCGGACGUGACGGGAUUAUUCAAUCCGCGUUUUUGGGGGCUUUGGCGUCCGGGUGUCUGAAGAGAAGUGUUCUUUAUUUUUAAUAUUUUCCUUUUUUUGGUUUAAUUUUCGAAAAUUAGGGGGGAAAAAAGUAAAAAAAAAAAAUAGAAAAAGAAAAUAGAAAAGUAGUAAAAAAAAAAAAUAAUAAGAACACGAGUUGUGGCGUUGUUGUAAUUUUUAGUUGUGGCUUUUUUUUUAAAAUUUGGUUUUGUGUAUUUUGUAUAUUUUUGGCCUACUAAUAUGAUGGGUAUUUUUGGCUUUUUUGAUGUAAGAGUUUUAUUAUUAUUAUUUUAUUUAGAUAAAACAAGUGAAUGUAACGAAUGGAGCGACGACACGUGUCGUCGUGUGGUGGACCCGGUUCAGAGAACUCCCUUAUGUGGCCUGGUCGGUUUGUCGCCGUUAUAUAUUAUUUAACUUUAAAUUUUCGACGUGAGUAAAAUGUACGGACAAUCCCUGUAAAAUGCGAAAUUUAAAACUGAGUACGUCCAAAUUUUUCUAAAUAUUACAGGUUUUGACCAUUAAAAUCUCUUAUUGUUAUUUUAAGUUAAAUUUGUAACAUUGUACUCAAGUUUUUCUUCUUGAGAUGCAUGUGAGAAAAUUUAGAGGGUUCCACUGUAAAACUAUUUAGUUUCAGGGACUAAGUAGAUAUUGUUACGCUUUAAAUAACACAUUGCGGUCCCCUUUUGAGUUGAGAAAUUACUUGGUGGCUAAGUAAACUAUUAUGGCACAAUCUACGUAGCUGUUGUUGUUACCAAAAAUAUAUAUAUAUAUAUACCACUUUUAACGGAGAAUGAUGUUGACACGUGGAUUUCGUAAAUCGCGACCUAUUAUCGACCGUUCGAUUGGGAAAUGUAACCGUUACACCGAAGAAAAUCCCGAGACAUGACUCGUCGCUUUGUUUUUGCAGUAGGUACAAUGCUUUAUCAUGUACGGUGUCACGGUGUGUAAUAAAAUUCGCCCUUCCUUUCUCGCGAAUUAUCGUAAAUGCCACUACGAGAGGAAAAAACUUUAUGAGCCAAAGCACUAAAAUUCCCUCCUCUUUUUUGCACUUUAUUCUCCUCUACUAAAGAUAUCUCUACUUUUCGCCAUUAAAAUUUCAUUAUUAUUAUUAUUAUUAUUAUUAUUACGUAAUUUACUAUUUUGUCGCUUUUUUGGGUACAGGUAAGUUUGGCACUUAUUUAUUUUACUAUUCUAUAAUUUAAAGCAAGGAUUAAAAUUCUCAUCAAGACAGACCGUAUCCAUCGUGCCGUACAAUAGAAUAUCGAUACGAUACAGCUUUCAUGCCAAUAGACACAACUUAAAAUUCUCUAUUCUUAAAAUUAGUAGAUAAUUUUCUCUACAAAGUUCAAAAGAUUUGAUAAAAAUAUACAAUAAAUAAUUAGUAUAUUUUAUUGCUAAAAAAUAAAUAAAUAUCUCAUGUCAUUUCAUGUCGGCACACAUAUGUUUUUUUGACCGGCAGGCAUCGACACGGCCCGACACGCACCGUGCUGUACCGCGCCAGCAUGUUUCGACACUUUAAUCCUUAGUUUAAAGUGUAUUAAUUUAGUAUUCUGUAGUUUUAUUUUUAUCUUUUUAUCAGAUUUUUUCGUUAAAUCAGUGAUAAAAUUAAAACUAAAAGGUAUUAAAGUGAAUACUCGAUAAACCUAGGUGAGAUAUCUAAAGUUUUUUUAUAUAAAAUUUAACGAAAUGUUUACAGAGCUGACGACGAAAAAAGAAAAAAAAAACUACAGGAUACUAAAUUGAUACAGUUUAAAUCAAACGGUAUUAGAGUGGAAAAGUACGAAACUACUUAAAUGGUAUUUGAAGCUUAUCCUAUAAUAUAGCUAGAGUAAUUAUUCUACGCUUUGAAAUGAUAAAAAAAAGUAAAGAAUUUUUUUUUAUUUUCUCCCCAUCCAAUUUUUUCCUAUUUACUAAUUUCUUUUUCAUCAUCUUUAAGCGUAUAAUAAUAAAAUAAAACCUUAUUAUAUUACUCAAUUAAAUCACAUAAUGUAUGAUGCUCCAAGCAGUGACAAUAGUAAUAAUGUGGGACUAAAUUCAAUAGUUUUAAAAUAUUUAUAAAAACAGAAGAUCAAGUAUAAAAACAAAUAUUUAUAAAAGAAUUUUAGGCAUUUUAAUUAUUUUAUGUGAGCUGUGAACAAAUUUUAAAUAAAAUAGAAAUACCGCAAACUUUAUAUAAAGAAUAUAGAAGCUUUGAUUUUAUUGCCCAAUUUUUGUAAUAUUUUAUAAUAAUUUAAUAUGUGAUAUCUAAUCUAAUUAAAGUUUAUUGUUAUUUAAUAAAAUAUGCUACCAAAAAAUAUAUAAAUACUACUAAAUAAAUAAUUAAAUCUAAAUAUUUUAGUGCUAACUUUUUUAUGGAAGGGCAUUUUGGGAAAUUGAAAGUGGGGUCGGUGGGAUUAGUAUUAAGUAUCUUGAGGGGUUUAGUUAAAUAAAUAUUUAAAAAAUAAAAAUGAGGUGAGGAUAAGGCCAAAUGUGAUGCAACUUCGAGGCGUCACAUAUUAAAAAAAAUAAAAAUUAAUUUAAUAAUUUUAAAAAUAAAAAAAUAAAUUUAUCUAAUUAUAUUUUAAAAUUUUAAUUUGAGUUAAUAAUGUUUUAAUUUAAUGUGGGUGUAGGUUGUAUAUAGUGAACUGUAGAGUUGAGGGAACUUUAUUGAGCAGUGUACUUUGUUGGGAAUUGGGAUAGGUCCCUGUUGAAUGGGAGGUUGUAUUAAUUAUUAUUAAAUUAAACUAAAAUUAAAUUUAAAUUAAUUAAAUGUCAUUAGCAAAAUAAUAAAGUACAUUGUGGGGAUGGUGAUGUAAAUGAUUUCUCAUAAAAAAAAAAAAAUUCCCCCAAUUUGUGUACAAUUUAAAAGCUUGUUUUUGGAAUAUAGGGUUUUUUGCUUUUGGAUAUAACUAUAUUUAAAAUAUUAUUUUUUAAUUGAUUAAAGCUUUGGAGAUAAAUAAUUAUUUUAUAUAAGAUAUGGGAUAAAUUUUGACUUUGAUUUCACGUAAUUUGAUUUUCUCCUAUUUAUUUCACACAGAGCCAAUUAAAUAUGGGCCAAUUGGAUCAUGUGUCUACAAGAACCAUUAAAGGGCCCAAAAACCAAUUUAUUGCCCCAAACUAUUCAUCUUGCAUUUUGAUUAUGGGCCAUUGUUUGUUCCUUUUUUUGUUGAAAUUAUCCAUGUUGAAUCCUUUUUAGCCUAAUGGUUUAAAUUUAAAUUUAAAUUUAAAUUUUAAAUUUCAAAUGGGUUCCCUUCAUUUGUGAUAUAACUAAAUUACCUAGAGUGUUAAUUAUCGAUUAAGAUAAAUUCAAGUUGCAAAAUAUGUUAUUAAUAUGGUCUUAUGGUAUCUCUGUGGGUCGCCCUCUGCGGUGUAGUAUCAUUUUCACUUUGCCGCUAUGUAGUUUAUAAAAUUUUACUUUGUCUUCAUAUGGUUUAAUUUUUAUUUUACCAAAAUAUUCUAAAUAAAAUAGGAUGUCAAAAUAAAAAAAAUUUGAAACCGCAAAGUGGCAAAGUAAAAAUGUUUUAGACUAUAUAGGAGAACAAAAUACAACAUUUUGAACUACAAAAUGAUAAAAAUAAAAAUAUAAGAAAAGUAUCCACCAAUGUUAAUUAUUAAGAAAAAUAAUCUAAUAAAUUAGUUAUGGAUGUGUUGUCAAGGAGAAUCACUAGAGAAUGUUAUAUUCUAACACAGAUUAUAAAAUAAAUUUGUGGAUAAUUAAUACUUAAAAGAGAAGGAGAAAUGCUAAGAUAGACUAUCUUAAGGACACAUCUUUUCUCACAGACUUGCUCGAAUUUGUAGUGGAUUGUAGUGUUAUUUAAUAUGGAAAACUUCAAAUACCACCCCUGCGAUUUCAUAUUUUUUCACUUUAGUAUCCUGUGCUUUAAAGUAUAUCAAUCUAGUAUCUUCUGAUUUCUCACUUUUUCACUUCAGUACCCUGUGGUUUAAAGUGCAUUAAUUCAGUACCUUAUGGUUUCAUUUUUCUCUUUUAGUCGGCUCCUCUGUUAAUAUUUCGUUAAAUUAUAUACAAAAAACUUCAAAUACUCUACCUAGGUUUAUCAAAUAUUUAUUUUAGUACUCUAAUUUUGUCACUGGUUUUUUCCCUCUAUUAAUAUUUCGUUAAUUAUAUACAAAAAACUUUAGAUAUCCUACAUAGAUUUAUCGAAUAUUCACUUUAGUAUUUUUUAAUUUUAACUUUGUCACUGAUUUAACGAAAAAAAUUAGUGAAAUGGACAAUAAAAAGAGAAAAAUAAAAACACAGGAUACUAACUUGAUACACUUGUGGUAUACUAAAGUGAAAAAGUGUGAAACCACAGAACCUAACUUGAUACACUUUAAAUCAUAGAAUAUUAAAGUGAGAAAACGUGAAACCACGGAGUAUUCGAAGUUUACCCUAUAUAAUAAAGUGUUAUCUAAAAAAUAAUAAACAAAUAUACUAAUUAAUUAAUAUAAAAAUUUUAAUUAAUUAGUACAAAUAUUUUAAAAUCUAUUAACCUAUAUGAAUCCUCAAUGAUUUUGCCAUGUGGCAAGUUUUCCUCCACCCUCACUAACCUUUUUUUAAAAUUAAUCUUUAUCAUGGCUUUUCCCCUCCCCUUCUCUCUAUUCAAUGACAUAUAAUCAAUGUGCUUUUAAUUUAUACGUUACUGAGUUUUUCCUCUUCAAUAUAAGUUCUUUCUUCUCCCUCAAACAAUUCUUAAUAUGCAAAAUUAAAAGAGGAGAGGUUAGUUUUGAUUUCAUAAUUGAUGUGGCAGUUCUAACCAUUUCAUGCUCAAAAGGGUGCAAAAUCAUGCAAACUUCUAUAAGAUUUUCAUCGCCAUCGUCGUCAUGAUUGCAACAUUAUCAUCUCCAUCUUCAUACGACUUUUGUAGAUUUUUUCUUUAAAUGGUGAUUCUAGACAAUUAUCAAUUUCAAUGGUUAUAUUGGUUAGUUCAAUUCAUAUAUUUUCCUACCUAAAAAAUAAAACACACUUGAAUUUUUAUUUUCCAAACUCCUUUCUUCAUCCUCUUUAAUAUUUUUUAUUUUUUCUUUUAUUAUUUAUCCGCCGCAUCGCGCGGGUUACUACACUAGUAUUAUAUAGAUUUGCCAACAUUUGGGACCCAAAGCAUUUUCCCCUCUUAAUUGAAGGGAAUCCUAAAAGCAAACAUACAAUUUAUUGUUCCCUGCCACCAACUCCUUACACUUAACUAUUCCAACAAACCAAAAUAAUUUUUACAUCACCAACAAAUUCAACCAUUGGAUGGAUUUUAACUCUUUUAUUUCACAUGGAAGCCAAUUUUAAAUUGAUUUUACUUUUUCCUUUUCUGAAAGAAUAUUUCAGUGGAGAGCCUACCACCGAAGUCGACUUCUUUAAAUAUAUAUAUUUUAAUUUUAAUAUUAAAAAAUAUCUAAUAAAUUUUUUAUGAAGACAAUAUUAAUAUGCGACAGCAGAUCGAUAUCAUUGAAGAGCUUUUCACUAAAGUUGUUUCUCCACACCUGACUCUCCCUAUCCUCAUCUAGUAAGUGAGGGUUAAACUCCGAAAGCCCCACCUCCAAGGCUCCAACUAAUACAUUAUCUAAUAUUAUUGAGAGAUUACAUUAUAUUACGUACGAUAAAAUAAAAAUAUAAUUAAAGAAUAUAUUAUUUUCUUUGUAUAUCAUAUUACAUAUAUAUUUUGAGUGAGGCUACUAUGCUAUCGAAAGCACGGAGCCUUUCGUGCUUCCAGCUCGUUUUCAAUGUUGGGACUUUCGAAUUGUCGAUCGGCUCCGUUAAACUUGAUCCAGAGUAUUUGGAGUACCUAGAAAAUAAAUUUUAUUAUUUUUCGAUAUCAUUUGUCUAGUGAUCGAAUGAGCUCAAAAUCAACAAAUUUCAAUGGCCGUAGUGAACCGUUUGCAAGUUUAACGGUGUAGAAAUAUCUAAAUCACGUGAAAUUUUGAUAGAAAAUUUUUUAUACUAUAAAACAAGAUCAAUGUCUUUGAUUUAAAAUUUUAAUGUCAUAUUAUUAUAUUUUGUAAGCUUUUUUUUUUUAGCCGUUGAUUUUGAGCCCCUUCGUUCGCUAGGCAAAUGAUAUCGUAAAAUCAUAAAAUUUAUUUUCUAGUUACUUCAAAUACUCUAGAUCAAAUUUAACGGAGCCGAUUGACGAUUCGAAAGUCGUAAUAUCGAAAACGAGUUAGAAGGCUCCGUGCUUCCGAUAGUAUAGUAGCCUCACUCAUAUAUUUUUUAUAAAUUUUUACAAAAAAAUACGAAAUAUUAUACAUGUAUAUAUUUUUGACCAAACUCCGCUUCGAUGGAUCUCGUUACCAAACAGGCCCUGAGAGAGAGAGAAACUGCCAGCAGCACCAGCAGCAAAAAAAAAAUUGUCCUUAUUUUCUCUCUCUAGAAAAAUCAAGGGUUCUAAACAUCACUAAAAAAAUGUCACAAGAAAGUUACACACAAAACACAGAGAGAUGUGAAUUAAAAAAAGGAGUGUCAUCCUCCCCAGUUCAUUACCUACUCCACCAUUCUUAGCCUUGUGAAUGUUUUGGAGCAAAAAAUUCAACAAGAAUCAUCAAAACAACUGUUACGACAAUCACACAAAUAUAAACGAAAAACGCGAUCGUAAAGCAGAUAAAUCAUAAAGCAGUAAAAUAAAACGGAACAUAAGAACUUACGUGAAAAAAUUUUUGUAGAAAAAAAUUACGGGCAAAGAGAGAGUGAACUUCACGGCAAAAAAAAAAAAAAACCUUUUUUUUCAUCAUAAUAUAUUUUUUUUAAAAAAUUUAUCACACUGUAAAACUGUUGAUGAAAUAUAAAAUCAAACUCAAUAAUCAAAUUUCGAGUCAAAUACAACAGUAACCAUAAGCAUCAUCAACUGCAGCAACUAAAAGAAGAGGAAGAAGAAGAAGAAAAAAAAAAAAAGAGAAGAAGAAGCAGAAUAAGGGUGGAGAGAGAGAGAGUGAAAAAAAAGAGAGAAGAAGAAAAAGAAGAAGAAGAAGAAGAAGAGGAGGAGAGAGAGAGAGAGAGAGAAGAAGAAGAAAAAGAAGAAGAAGAAGAAGAAGAGGAGGAGAGAGAGAGAGAGAGAGAAGAAGAAGAGAAAGAGAGAGAAAAGAAGAAGAAGAAGAGAGAGAGAGAAAGAGAGAGAGAGAGAGGAAGAAGAAGAAGAAGAAGGGGAGAGAGAGAGAAGAAGAAGAAGAGAGAGAGAGAGAGAGAAGAAGAAGAGAGAAAGAGAGAGAGAGAGAGAAGAAGAAGAAAGAGAGAGAGAGAGAAGAAGAAGAGAGAGAGAGAGAGAGAAGAAGAAGAGAGAAAGAGAGAGAGAGAGAGAAGAAGAAGAAAGAGAGAGAGAGAGAAGAAGAAGAGAGAGAGAGAGAGAGAAGAAGAAGAGAGAAAGAGAGAGAGAGAGAGAAGAAGAAGAAAGAGAGAGAGAGAGAAGAAGAAGAGAGAGAGAGAGAGAGAAGAAGAAGAGAGAAAGAGAGAGAGAGAGAGAAGAAGAAGAAAGAGAGAGAGAGAGAAGAAGAAGAGAGAGAGAGAGAGAGAAGAAGAAGAGAGAAAGAGAGAGAGAGAGAGAAGAAGAAGAAAGAGAGAGAGAGAGAAGAAGAAGAGAGAGAGAGAGAGAGAAGAAGAAGAAGAAGAAGAAGAAGGGGGAGGGGGAGAGGGAGAUGACACCAAAAAAGCUCAUCUUCCUCCUCCUGAUCAUAUUCUCAACAAUCUCCUUCAUCAGGCUCCUAAUUCUCACAAGCAUCACCUCAGAUCCAAUCCCCACACCCCCCCCUCCCCCUCCCCUCUCCUCCCGAAAUCACCUCCGCUCCUCGAAUCCCCAAACUCCCAAACCCCCACCCCCCACCCCCCCUUCUUCAGAUUCAGACCCCUUCUCCCCCAAAGAGCUCCUCCUCCUCCAAACCCUCAUCUCCACCAGAUCCCCCCGCAACAUCCUCUUCUUCGGAAUCACCCCCCAGUUGCUCGAUCUCGCCAUGUCGAACGCCGCAGGACACACCAUCAUCUUCCUCGUCAACGAAGAAUUCGAAGAAUUCGACAGAGUUCGCGCCCGAGGGAUCGAGGGAAUCGGAAUCUACUACAUCGAAUGUGAAGUGAUGGCAAAACAAGCAUACGAGUUGCUCGAGUAUGCGAGAGUGACUCCGGCUUGUCGGCCGAACGACGGGCCGACGUACGAAUCGAGAUGCCGGCUGGCACUGCGGGGAUUGCCGGAGAUUGUGAAUAAGGUGCGGUGGGAUGUGGUUGUGGUCGACGGGCCGGGCCGCGGCGGGGGGCCGGAGGAGCCGGGACGGAUGGCCGCGAUCUACACGGCUGCGUUGCUCGCGAGGGCGGGGAAUUCGACCGAUGUCCUGGUGCAUAACGUCGAUCGCACGAUCGAGAAGUGGUACUCGUGGGAGUUCUUGUGCAGUGAGAAUUUGAUCUCUUCGAAAGGGCGGCUUUGGCAUUUCAGGAUCAGAGGAAGAUCCAAUUCCGGCAGAUUUUGCAGCUGAGCCUGCUUUCGCGAUUCAGUAGGUGAAGAAUUCGCUCUCUCUUUCUCGAGUUUUCGGAUUCAAUUUGAGUAGGAAUUAUGAAGAAAUUGGAAACAGAUGCAAUUCUAUUGAGUGAUGUGGGGAAAAAAAAAGCUGGAUUUUUCGAAUCUAUUUCAUGUUCUAUGCUACUGAAAAAUCCGGUCGAAACAGAAGCUCUUCUGUAAAGUUUUCAGACAAAAAGUGAAUCACGAAUUUAUACUUGUUUGUGCAUCUGCAUUGUAAUCUUUGUGCGCAUUAUCAUGUAGAAUAGUUCUAUUUUUUCAUUCAUUUAGUGAAUAGAUGAUUGGAUUGUUUUAUUUGUAGCUGUAAAAUGUUCAAUUUGAGGUUGAUCAAUGGACAGUGAUAAUAAGCUCAAGUACCACUUAUAACAGAUAUAUUUCUUUUUUCUUUUUUUUUUAAAGAACUAAUUGCAUAUGCUACUUCAAUAACUUCAUUAUAGUUUAGUUUUCUUGCGCGAAAUUUAACAGGAUAUCUCAACAAUUUGGGUUGCAUUAUUUUAAGAAUUUUAACCUACUAAGUAGAAAGAUAUACAGUAGCAUGUAACUCCUCAUCCUUCAUAGCAUCUAGGAGAUUCAAGCAAUUGUAGAAGCCUUAGUGAAUCUUUAUUAGGUUUCAGUUAAGAAUUUAUUUUGUCCCGACAUAUUCGCCAGUUUAUUUAUUUUAUCACAGCUUCUGAUUCCUGUCAAAAACACUCUGUCUGGUAUUGUUUUUGGUUGAAGAAAUUUAUUUAGCUCCAAAUCCAAUAUCCCCUCCAGGAAUAUCUGUGUUUAAUCUUAAAUUUUAGAUGAAAUUAUGAACAUUGUCUCGUGCAAUUUAAACUAACUCUUCUUCCUAAACUUUCAAGAGGAAAAGACUUAAAUUUUAUGCUUUUCAUUAGCAGUAUCAAAUGCUAGAGGGUAAUCAUAGUAUGUUAUUAAACCCUUUUAAGUAAUGAGAUUUUGCAUCUUUUAUGUAGCUCUCCAUGUUUCCAGUGUUAACUUCUUAAAAGAGUAGAAUGAUCUUGUGUAGUAAUUUAGUCCCUGCGCUCUGAUUUUCUGCAUAUUUUCUAUCACAACCUUAAAUAGUCUACAUAAGAAAUCAAAAUACUUAUUCUCUUCUUGUGUUAAGCAUUGCAUUCAAAACCUGUAAUUAUCGAUAAGCACGAAAACAAAGAGGAAACAAGGAUCAUUAAAUCCAUCGAAUCUCUAAUUCCCAACAAAGCAUUCUAAAGUAUUUGUACAUUGUGAUUCUUAGUUACAUAAAAUGCAUGACACAAACUUUUAAUGGUACAUUCAUUCACAAUGACAUGAGACUCUCUGCAGCUCAGCACCUGCAUGCUCCUCUCCAAGCCUUCUUCAUUUGGGGGUGAAAGCCUAGGAAGAUGAAACAGUUGUUAGUGAGAGUAUGAAGGAUUCGAAUCGGCUUGAUAUCGGCGUGUAAUCGCAAUUCAAGUGUUUGAAAUAAAGUUUUGUCGUGCCGUGCCGUGCCGUGGCACUGAGCAUGCGUAAUCGAACUUCUCUCGAUUACACGGUUUAUAUGCAGCCUGACGGUGAGCUCUAAGUGUUUGAGUUAGCAUGUUUCUGAAAGCACGGGAGGGGUCGGUGCUUCCUCUUUUUCGCAUGUUGAAUGCGUACUUGGAUUCACGUGCGCUCCGCUUGGCCAUCAUGUGAGCACGCACUUAAAGAAGCGCUCGCACGGAUCUCGAUGCGCAUCGAAAACAUGCGAAAAGAAAGGAGUUCAUGAGAUCGACGACGGUGUUGGGUUUGGCAACUUACAGCAAAGAUUGUGGCAUGGCCAGGGUCAGCAAGGUGAGCAAAGAGAUUGUCAAUAGGGCCAGUCCCAGUGUAAACGGCCUGGAACCAAGCCCCCAUCACAGCCAACAUGGCCAGCCUCCCAUUCUUGAUCUCCUUGGUCCUCAGCUCCUUCACCUUCUCAGGAUCACCACUCCCCCACCCCAGCGGGUCGAACCAGAGCCCGCCCGGGUACCCGACAUCCGUGCCAGUUAGCUUGUUGUUCGGGAAGAUCGGGUCGGUGUUCACGCACCCGGGUUUUAUGAUGUCGGCCCACCGCCGGCCCUCGGCCCACCCUAUCAGGAUGAGCUCGACUAUGAACAGCGUGGUGGUGUCCGUGAAGUAUUGGAGCUCGCCGGCAGUGUACCUGUUCGAAUGUGAAAAAGCUUAAGCUUCUAGAAAACAAUUAACACGCAAACCCUUGUAAAUAUGCGUGUAAAUGCUCCCUGGAAAGAGUAUAUAUGAAAGAAUUUAGCUUAUUUCAAAGUUCUAAGGAGCAUAUGCGACAAUUUCGAAGUUUUCAAGGGUAAUUUGAUAUGUUAAAAGUUUCGAGCAUAGACAUGAGUCAAGGGGUGAGCGUUAGAAAUGAAAAUAUGAGAGCUUUUAGAUGAAAAAGAGAGGUUAUUUUCACAUUACCAUGAGGGGGUGUUGAGGAUGCCGAUUUUUGUCAAGAAUUCGGGGAUGAAGAUGCCGGCGGCACCGAGCAUUGCCCACCGGCAGUGCACCAGCUCGGACUGCACGUUCCAUCUCAGGGUCUCUGGGUCAGAUCCUGCGUAAAAAAUUGUUCUUCAAUGCCAUGUAAGAUCUAUGGCUUUUUCAUCAACUUUUAUCUUAGUAAUUGAAGUUCAAUAUGUUUUUAUACCUGAUGGUUUAUUUUAUGUAAAGCAAAGACAUAGUUUGACAAAAUUCAAUGAUCAGUAAGUUCAUUUCAGAGAAAGAUUCAGGCAUUAUAUGCUCAAAUAUGUAUCUUCUAAUUGCUUGUAAAAGUGCUCAACUUCUGAUGCAGUUAAAGUAAAAGUUUCAUAUUAGAGCUUUCGCUUUUACCGUAGAAGUAGAGAAUGAAUAUAAAUUUACUCGCUAAUGUAGAAAAUUUAGGAUUAAGUCUUACCGAGACCCAAAGGAUCGAAACCGAAAUCUCCUGGAAGGCUGCAGCAGCAGAAAGAGAGAACAUUGAUACACUUAUUAUAUGAAAACAAUAUCGGUAUAAUGUAUCGUCAGUUCCUGUACUUUCGCAAUAUUGCAAAUUAGUCCCUAAACUUUACGCUUAUACGAAAGUUCAGUCACUUUAAAACUGUUUAAGUGAAAAGUACAAGAACUAAGCGGGAAUAUAUAACACUUAUCCGCAGAGAUAGGAUAAAGAAGAUGAACCUGCCAUCAAGCCAUGGAGGAGGGGUGCUUCCCGGGAACCAGAUAGGCCUUUCGGUCGCCUCGGCUGCCACCGAGAGCGCUUUUCGUGCUGUCGGGGCGGCCCAGUUCGUCUUCGCUUGCCUUAGUUUCCUUCCACUGAGGAAGGAUGCCCUUGUUGCACUCAGACCAUUCUGAGAUCUGACAAACAUAAAAAUUGCAAUCAAUUAUUACAGUUUGGAGAUCGGAGAUGUCGCAGAAGCAACUGUUGUGAUCUGAGUUUAGACAGAAUCUUAGAAUAUCUUAGUAGAAUAUCAAGUUAUGACCAACUAAAUGGGUUAUUUCUUUGUAGUACAAGGCCAUGAGUAAUCAACAAAAAGAGAAUAUAAAGGAAAUCUCUUCUGGUACUUGGCACAAAGAGUUAGUUAGCUUUUGAAAUACUGUUUAACAAAAGAAGUUUCAGGUUAAAAUAUAUGGAGAAGGGCUUUUUUGGCCUGCUUUGAGCUUCUUAAAAAAGCACACUUGUUGCUGCACCAGAAGUAGAAACUUUAAAUAGAAGCUCUUUUUUUUUUUUUUUUUUUUUUUUUUUUUUUUUUUUGUUUGACUGCCACCUAGGCAGCCCACUNUUUUUUUUUUCUUUUUUUUUUUUUUCAAAGCCUGCUUUCACCUAGACAAAAACAUAUCACUUUUAUUUGUCAAGCAUUUGUUUAUUAUUUCUCAGAUAAAAAAGCUGUUAGACGCGCAAAUUGAAAAGCAUUAGCAGAAGCCGUGCCCAAUAAAUAGGCACAAAAUGAAAUGAAAAACAGACUAAUUUCUUUACAUGUAUGAAAUAUAUUGACUACAAUGCUUGUCUAUUAUUUCUCGAAUAGAAAAGCUGUUACAGAAGUGAGCCCCAAAAGGUACAAAAAAUAAAAUGAAAAGCAGAUUAAUUUCUGUGGAUACGUACAAGUCCAUUGAUCACAAUAUACAACUAACAUGCAUGCACAUACUUUACGAGCCUGACGGGACACAAACUCAAGACGUUCUAUUCUCGUAUCAUAUUAAAUCAUAUCUCCAAUAAUUUAAAUUACCGAAAACAGUAUUUCUAAUGUUUAUAUUCAACAUAUAGUUAUAUUAGAUUAGAUAACUUUAAUCUUAGUACCUGGCUACAGCUGCAACAGCAGAAGAGGAAGCAGAAACUGAAGCCAUUAUUGUUGCUGUUGUUGCUGCUGCUGCUGUUGUUGUUUGCUUUGGUGUGGUGAGUGGGGAGAGUAGGGGAGGAGGAGCCACCUGUUUAAUGCAUGGGAGUGGGAGGCUUAUCCCAGAGGGAUAGGAGAAUGGGUUCUUGGGUCUCUCGUGUGCUGCCACGUGGCACAGAGAAUCCACUCCUUGGUUUUCCCACCACCCAGGAUCUGGCUGAGUUGGAUUGUGUCUCCCACUGUUGUGGCUAGGAUGCAAUGCUCUUAGCAAAAGAUCUCAUGGAGGGAAUGAAUGGGUUGGGGGAGAUUGGGUUAGAUUUGGGUGGUGGGUCUAGUUAGGGUUCGCAAUGGGCCUUACCCAAUCCAAUUCAAUCCGAAUCCUAUUCCAAUAUUUUAUGGAUCUUAAACAUCUUAUGCAGCUUUCGCUAUUGACUUUGAGACUUUAUUGAAUUUGAGACUUCAAAAAGAUAUCACCACGCUCUCGACCGAUGACAUUUAUAUGAUCAUGAGAUUUAUACAAAUUAUGUUGUGGUUGGUCUCGCAUAUCACCCAAGCAAACAAGUGAUUUCGGCUGAAGCAGGCGUUAACAUUAUAAAUGGCCUGUUUGAUGUUCACCGAGUUUACUGACACUUUUCAUUACUAUCACAAAGAAAAAGAUUUAUAUUUGGAUUUUGGUCUUUAAAUUUUCCUUUUUUUAUAAAAAAAAGAAUCAUGUAGAACCCUUUUCUCUUUUCCCCCCUUAUUUCAGAUAGUAAAGGACAAGCAUGUUUCGGAUACUGAAUCAGAAAACCAAGUUUACACAGCAAGAGCAUUUGCGCAGGUAAUCUUUUGUUAAAGCUGUUCAAAUAAGCAAUCACGGUGUUCUCAUUAAAAUCAUCUUGACAACUCACUAAAAAAUUAGCGUCCCGCUACAGCAAAAACUCUCAGCAGCGCCUUGUGGUUGAAUUACUUCAUCCUCCCACUAAAUGUGUGCAAGAAUUUUGAACAUACUGUCUCCGAACGGAAACAUUACGACUUUGUUUUGAUGUCAAAACAAGUUCUACGAUGAUCACAGCAAAUUUUCAUUCAAUGAUUGUCAUAUCCUUCCACCACAUCUUGUAGUGCUUCUCAUUUGAAACUUUUACCCAACACUUCAUGAUAACCAGCGCAUUCCACUUCCCAAAUAGAUGAUCAACUUAAAUGUUAGUAUCCAAAGACAAAUGUUAUCUAUCACCUCUACUGAAAACCAGCUUUAAAGCAAAAGAAAGAAAAGAAAACAAGCAGCUGACAGUUUGGUCUCACUGGAGCUUCCACUGAAGUGCUUCCUGUACAGAGCUUUUUAGAGAAGCAUUAACAACAUUUUACAGUAAAAUUCAUACAACAGCAUCUCAUAGAGAAGCAGAAGCACAAGUUACAUAUAAGAGAUUAUGCUCCUGAGACCCAGAAGCUCAUUUCAGAGCAAAAAAGCUCCAGCCUUUUAUUGUUUUUCAAACACCUAAUUACUGCUGCUUGGAUCCAAAGCUAAAGAGGCACUUUUAGGCUAUCUUACAUGAAACCAAAAAACAAUAAGCAAAAAAUGAUAAGCAAUGAGACCCGAUCAGGUUACUACCAGAAAAAGAAAUCAACAGUAGACGAAACCAACAUAAAGCAAUAAAAAAAUAUGAAGCCACCAAGAUUAUGUGCAAGCUACCAACUUCGUAAUUUGUGUUAUAUAGUUGAAUCCAUUUUCAUCAUGGCCUUCGUAUACACAUAUUGUCAACACCUAGUUACACUGAAAUGUUAAUCUUAGAUGCACAUGUUUACCAAAAAUUUCCUCCCAACUUUAUGAGCCGUAGAUCCUUCCCGUUUGGCAAACACUUCGCCCAAGGACAUUUCUCGUUUUACCCGUCCCCUUAAGACACUUCCUACUUGAUCAAACCCAAGGAAUGCACCAUAUAACAAUCUCGACUGACCAUAUCCAAGCUACUGAUGUUUUCCCUAGGUGGAGGUCUUAUUUAAUCUUUCCUAAUAAGAGAGCUCGAGCACUAAAUAGGUGCUCGGAAUUUGGAGCACCAAUAGAUCAUAUGAUACCACUCAUUCGAAUGAUUGGACCCUAUGAUCUUACAGUGCUCUGAAUUCGGAGUACCUAUUCAAUGCUCCGAAUUUGAAGCCCAUGGAUUUCAACAACCUAACGUCAAUAGUUGUUCACAUUUAUUUUCUAGCUGUCCAUCACCAUAGUUCAUAAGCUAUAGUUGGCUCUGUAAACGGCAAUUAAAAUUUACCUUUACCAUUACAUAAAACAACACAAAGGGAAUUCUCCACAUAAAACAUUGGCCUUCUAUUCUGCCCACAAAAUCCACAUCAAUUUUCCUUUCAAAUGGACUAUAGUUCUCCAGUAACGACUCCACUCCCUCUUAGGUAUUUCUUAUCCAAAAAUAUUUCACUUUUCAUCUUGACGAUCUGCAUUGAUUUAACCAUUGUGCUAUUAAAGUAGAUUCAUAUUUAAAUCAGCUAGCUAUCAAUCCUUACUAUAAUUACCUAAUUAUGCAAAAAGGAAUUAUGUUAAUUAACUAUCUUUAACUAUUAGUCAGUUAUAUUUGACCAGUUACCCAUGUAUCCUUUCCAAUAAAUGAGUAACGACAUUAUCAUUUCACAUUAAGUUCGCACACUUGAACUCUUUACCAACCGACCUCCUAAAUCAAAUUUUGUUUGGAUAUUAACUUGCUUAACCCACCUUUCAAAGUAGACAAAUUGUGGAUAAGCACUAGAGCAUUUGCUCUCUCUUUCAUUCCCCCACCUCUUUGAUACUACUCCUGAUAGCACCUUACAAUCCUUAACAAAAACAUCUAGCAACUAAUCAAGUAACAAAAAAGUCUAUCUACUACUAGGAUCAUUCAUGGGUCAAGAUUAAAAUGUUUUAGAAUAUUAAAUGAAACACUAUAGAAACUCUAUCUGUGGCAUCCUCUAACUCACUUUUUCUCUGAGGCCAUAAUCUUCAUGCGCACACACAAUUUUGCUAUCCUUUUAAUUUUUUAAUAUACCAUCUCCAUCCAGAAAACCUUCUCUGACAUGAAUUACUACCUCCAUCUCAUCUUAGUCUCAUCCAGCAAUCGCAUCACAAAGUACCAUUUGAAAAGCUUAUGCAUUAGUAAAAAACAACUCCUUUCUCUGAACAGUAAGUACUCUAAUUAGAUCCUAUGACUCAACCUAUUGCAAAGAAUGAAAAAACCUGAAUCCUUGACAAACAGCACUUUGUCCUACACUCUUCCCAACCUUUCCGCAAGCUUAUAAUUUGGGGGGGGGGUGUUGGAGAAAUGCUACGCAUACACGCCAAGAGGGAUGUAUGAUGUACACCCCAUCCAUCCUAGGGUGAAAAUUUUUUCACUAAUCAUAUCGAUGCGACUAGCAAAGACCAUCCUACUCUAGGGAGAGGGAGCAAUGCUACGCAUGCACCCCAAGAAGGGUGUAUGAUGUACACCCUAUCCAUCCUAGGGUGAAAAAUUUUUCACUAGUCACAUCGAUACAACUAGUAACAAUCAUCCCACCCUAGAAGAGUGGAGUGUACAUCAUACACUCCUCUUAGGGGUGUAAAGGUAGCUUUUACAAAAAAAAUAAACAAAGCUUGAUUUCAAAACAUUUUGAUAAAUCAAACUGAUAACUUAUACUGCUUCAUUAAAGAAUAUAGCAACACAGUUAACUUUGUAUGUUGACGUCAAUUAAAGACAGCUUAGUACAAUCAGAAAAAUUUGGCCCUACCUCCAUAGUCUAGCUUCGACAAUUAUACAGCGAGUGUCCUAAAGCUAAGCCUUCUUUGAGCCAUUCUAGUAAUGACUAAAAUACUUCAUUUUCUAAUUGGUUUCAGACCCUAAUCUUAAGUCAGCACUAACUAAAACCAAAAUGUUCCUAUAAAAUGAAACAGAAGGACUCCAAAUAAUUACACUUUAAUUUCUUUAGGCUAUGUUUGGUUGGGGGGUUAAGGGUGGAAUAAAGAGUUUAUUCCACCCUUAUCCCCUAAACACAAAAAAAGUUUGGUGGGAACACUAAUUCCCACCUUAACGGGCUAUUCUAGAAUAGCCCGUUAAGGGGUGGGAACUAGUGUUCUCACCCCAAGGUGGAACAAGCUGGGAUAACCCAGCUUGUUCCACCCGUGGGGAGAGAGAGUGAGAGAGAGAGAGAGAAUUUUUAAUUUAUUAUAAAAUUUAAAUUUUGUAAGUUCAAAAAUUAAAAUUUAUAAUUUUUAAAAUUAUAAAAUUAAAAAUUUAAAUUUUAAAUUGUUUAAUUUUAAAAUUUAAAAUUUGAUAUUUUAAUUUUUUUUAUAUUUAGAAUUUGAUAUUUUGUAUUUUUAAAUCAAAAUUUCAUCUUAAAUUUAAAGUUUAAAAUUUUAAAUUUUAAUUUUUUAAAAUUGUAAAUUUGAGAUUUUAAAAUUUUAAAAUUUAAAAGUUUAUACUUUAAAUUCUAAAAUAUAAAUAUAAAAUAUAAAAAUUUAAAUUUUAAUGUAAAGAAAGGGAUAAUAUCAUUGUUUUUUAUUUAUAACUACCCACUCUAAUUUUUAUUUCAUCUUACCAAACCAAACACUAUUUUUUUUAUUCUCAGGAAUAAUUCAAUUUUCAUCCAAACGCAAAAUUGAUCUAAUCCCCGCUUAUACCUCAAUUUAUAUCUAUCCCUGGAAUAGCCACUUUUUGCUUAUCCCCGAACCAAACAAUACCUUAAUGUUCAACUCUGAGAAUUCACAUAAUUGUUAACUCUUAAAUCUAAACAACUUAACUUAAAGAGUAUCCACAAUUUGUAAUAUGACCCUCUAUCAAUAUUUUCCGCAUCUGCCUCAAGAAAUUGUCUUUUUUCAAACUUACAUAUGAUUUAUAAACAAACUGUGAUACGCGAACAAAAGCCAACCGCAUCAGUAGCAUCAGUAUGUAACUUACCACGCCUCCAAUGCAGUACCUGAAUUUCUGGAGUUCCACCUGAGUCUUAUUGCAAUUCUUAAGAAUCAAAACAAGUAGAUAUAUGGGUAAAGAUCUAAUAAGUAUGAAGGAAGAAAUAUGCACAUAUCACAAUGCCUAACUGCUUAAUGUGUAGUAAACCGCUAAAGCAUGAUAAGAGAUUAUUUCAGAGUAUUCAACAACAACAAUUGCUCCUCUCCUACCCCAGCAAAAGCCCAGAUGCCCAAUUCUAUGGAACCACCAUAUGGUUCAAAUUUGUAAUGCUUUGCCACCAUGUGGUUGUUGUUCUAUUCUUCUGUUAGACAUGUAAUUUAAAUCAUCAUUAAAAACGAGCACAUGGCAGCCAUGUGACUCGUUAAAACACAGGAUCCAACUCCUUAAUCAAUUACUUUUAAAGAG